Molecule: transfer RNA, 65 nt
Filed under: Chattonella subsalsa
Lineage: Eukaryota; Raphidophyceae; Chattonellales; Chattonellaceae
Source: RNAcentral
CAGUUAGCUUAGCUGGUAGAGCGUUGGCCUAGUUACCGACAGGUCGUGGGUUCGAGCCCCACACU